RNAcentral lists this long non-coding RNA (675 nucleotides) under Malus domestica (apple). RNAcentral's name for it is "long non-coding RNA (MDOM_LNC000243)". Lineage: Eukaryota; Viridiplantae; Streptophyta; Magnoliopsida; Rosales; Rosaceae. The record is from RNAcentral.
CCUAGCCGCAUACAUCUUCCCCUCUCCACAAAAUCAGAAAAUCAUCUCUCCUUCUCCCCACCUUUUGCCGCAGCCACCAUCACCCAAAAUCCAUCCAUUCCAGCCGCCACUCAUCCAUUCCAGCAACCUACCCCACUUUGCCGCACCACCAUACACCUCCCUUACCCUUUUCCGAACCACCAUAUCAUCCCAAAUCCAUCCCUAAACCGAAAUCACAUCCAAACAGCCCCUAAACCCUCACUGCCGCAGCAAGGAGAAGAAGAAAGAGGAGCUUUCUGUGCAGAUUUCAAAGUGGACUUCUUUGGCAUUUUAGGUGUAAUCUUUCUUAUGUCUUCGAUGUUUCAAUGCAAUAAACUUUGUGUUGUGAGUAUGAGGAACUAAACCCCCUUAGUUGGGGGGUAAUUCGAAACCAUGUACAUGCUUGCAAUUUGAUUCAAUUACAUUCAGUUGUUAUUUCAUAAGUUGUGGAUUCAAUUCGUUCAUCUAUUUGAUUGAUACUUAUUUAUGUAUGUUGAUUGAGAGUGCACGCUUAGUUUUCAUGCAUGAAUAUGAUGCUAGAUUAUGAGGGAGUUUCACCUAAUAGUUACAAUCUUAUAAUCACAAGUAGUGAAGAUUGCUUGAAAACGAUCGCGUUGAAUGAAUUCUUAGCAUAAGUUUCAUGCAAUUCAUAGUAAC